GUGAACGCUGGCGGUAGGCCUAACACAUGCAAGUCGAACGGCAGCACAGUAAGAGCUUGCUCUUACGGGUGGCGAGUGGCGGACGGGUGAGGAAUACAUCGGAAUCUACUUUUUCGUGGGGGAUAACGUAGGGAAACUUACGCUAAUACCGCAUACGACCUACGGGUGAAAGCAGGGGAUCUUCGGACCUUGCGCGAUUGAAUGAGCCGAUGUCGGAUUAGCUAGUUGGCGGGGUAAAGGCCCACCAAGGCGACGAUCCGUAGCUGGUCUGAGAGGAUGAUCAGCCACACUGGAACUGAGACACGGUCCAGACUCCUACGGGAGGCAGCAGUGGGGAAUAUUGGACAAUGGGCGCAAGCCUGAUCCAGCCAUACCGCGUGAGUGAAGAAGGCCUUCGGGUUGUAAAGCCCUUUUGUUGGGAAAGAAAAGCAGCAGGUUAAUACCCCGCUGUUCUGACGGUACCCAAAGAAUAAGCACCGGCUAACUUCGUG
RNAcentral lists this ribosomal RNA (491 nucleotides) under uncultured bacterium. RNAcentral describes it as "partial 16S ribosomal RNA". It matches the Rfam family "Bacterial small subunit ribosomal RNA", at positions 29 to 507 of the family's 1533-position model. The record is from RNAcentral.